RNAcentral lists this ribosomal RNA (451 nucleotides) under uncultured bacterium. RNAcentral describes it as "bacterial SSU rRNA". It matches the Rfam family "Bacterial small subunit ribosomal RNA", at positions 354 to 796 of the family's 1533-position model. The record is from RNAcentral.
GUGAGGAAUAUUGGGCAAUGGGCGCAAGCCUGACCCAGCCACGCCGCGUGAGUGAUGAAGGCCUUCGGGUCGUAAAGCUCUGUGGGGAGGGACGAAAAAUCUCCGUUCGAAUAGGGCGGAGACUUGACGGUACCUCCUUAGCAAGCACCGGCUAACUCUGUGCCAGCAGCCGCGGUAAUACAGAGGGUGCGAACGUUGCUCGGAUUUACUGGGCGUAAAGCGCGUGUAGGCGGGCUCGCAAGUCGGUUGUGAAAUCCCUGGGCUCAACCUAGGAACUGCAUCCGAAACUGCUUGUCUUGAGUGGUAGAGAGGGUGGCGGAAUUCCCGGUGUAGAGGUGAAAUUCGUAGAUAUCGGGAGGAACAUCAGUGGCGAAGGCGGCCACCUGGAUACUUACUGACGCUGAGACGCGAAAGCGUGGGGAGCAAACAGGAUUAGAAACCCCAGUAGUCC